UGACGACCCUUCGGGAGCUAGCACAGGUGCUGCAUGGCUGUCGUCAGCUCGUGUCGUGAGAUGUUCGGUUAAGUCCGCUAACGAGCGCAACCCUCGCUGUGUGUUAUAUGUGUCACAUGGGACUGCCGGCCUUAAGCCGGAGGAAGGUGGGGAUGAUGUCAAGUCAGCAUGGCCUUUAUGUCCUGGGCUACACACACGUUACAAUGGUCAGCACAAUGGGUCGCUAAGCCGCAAGGUGGAGCCAAUCCUCAAAGUUGGCCUCAGUUCAGAUUGUAGGCUGCAACUCGCCUGCAUGAAGAUGGAGUUGCUAGUAAACGCAGGUCAGCUAUACUGCGUUGAAUACGUUCCCGGGGCUU
This 356-nucleotide ribosomal RNA is filed under the name uncultured Atribacterota bacterium. Its description in RNAcentral is "bacterial SSU rRNA". It matches the Rfam family "Bacterial small subunit ribosomal RNA", at positions 1010 to 1382 of the family's 1533-position model. The record is from RNAcentral. Lineage: Bacteria; Pseudomonadati; Atribacterota.